UACGUAGGGGGCUAGCGUUGUCCGGAAUCAUUGGGCGUAAAGAGCGUGUAGGCGGCCCGGUAAGUCCGCUGUAAAAGUCAAAGGCUCAACCUUUGAAUGUCAGUGGAUACUGUCGGGCUCGAGUCCGGAAGAGGAGUGUGGAAUUCCUGGUGUAGCGGUGAAAUGCGCAGAUAUCAGGAGGAACACCAAUGGCGAAGGCAGGUCCCUGGGUUGACACUGACGCUCAUGCACGAAAGCGUGGGGAGCAAACAGG
RNAcentral lists this ribosomal RNA (253 nucleotides) under uncultured bacterium. RNAcentral's name for it is "partial 16S ribosomal RNA". It matches the Rfam family "Bacterial small subunit ribosomal RNA", at positions 524 to 776 of the family's 1533-position model. The record is from RNAcentral.